GACGAACGCUGGCGGCGUGCUUAACACAUGCAAGUCGAACGGUAAGGCCCUUCGGGGUACACGAGUGGCGAACGGGUGAGUAACACGUGGGUGAUCUGCCCUGCACUUCGGGAUAAGCCUGGGAAACUGGGACUAAUACCGGAUAGGACCACUGCCUGCAUGGGUGGUGGUGGAAAGCUUUUGCGGUGUGGGAUGGGCCCGCGGCCUAUCAGUUUGUUGGUGGGGGUAUGGCCUACCAAGGCGCCGACGGGUAGCCGGCCUGCGAGGGUGACCGGCCACACUGGGACUGAGAUCCGGCCCAGACUCCUACGGGAGGCAGCAGUGGGGAAUGUUGCGCAAGGGGCGAAAGCCUGACGCAGCAACGCCGCGUGCGGGAUGACGGCCUUCGGGUUGUAAACCGCUUUCAGCAGGGAAGAAGCCGCAAGGUGACGGUACCUGCAGAAGAAGCACCGGCUAACUACGUGCCAGCCGCCGCCGUAA
This 480-nucleotide ribosomal RNA is filed under the name uncultured bacterium. RNAcentral describes it as "partial 16S ribosomal RNA". It matches the Rfam family "Bacterial small subunit ribosomal RNA", at positions 28 to 523 of the family's 1533-position model. The record is from RNAcentral.